Amphimedon queenslandica is the source of this 214-nucleotide long non-coding RNA. RefSeq lists it as uncharacterized. The transcript is spliced from 3 exons. The record is from RefSeq and is a predicted model, not a curated record. Lineage: Eukaryota; Metazoa; Porifera; Demospongiae; Haplosclerida; Niphatidae.
CAGGAUGGUAGUGGACCAAUCAAUUAUCGAUCUGGUUUAGUACACAAUCCUCCAAGUGCAUUAACUCAAAAUGAUAUCUUAGGAGAUAGAAAUAAUUUCCUUCUUGUCACAGUUGAAAUAUCUGUGAUGCUGUCAAGUGAAACUCUAUUGCCUUCUGCAACUGUAGCAAUUGAAAGUUCCUUAAUAUUAAGUCAAUCACUCACACUGAGUCUGG